UACGUAGGGGGCAAGCGUUGUCCGGAUUCAUUGGGCGUAAAGAGCGUGUAGGCGGCCAGGUAGGUCGGUUGUGAAAACUGGAGGCUCAACCUUCAGAGGUCGACCGAAACCAUCUGGCUAGAGCACAGUAGAGGCAGGUGGAAUUCCCGGUGUAGCGGUGGAAUGCGUAGAGAUCGGGAAGAACAUCAGUGGCGAAGGCGGCCUGCUGGGCUGUUGCUGACGCUGAGGCGCGACAGCGUGGGGAGCAAACAGG
RNAcentral lists this ribosomal RNA (253 nucleotides) under uncultured bacterium. RNAcentral's name for it is "partial 16S ribosomal RNA". It matches the Rfam family "Bacterial small subunit ribosomal RNA", at positions 524 to 776 of the family's 1533-position model. The record is from RNAcentral.